Molecule: ribosomal RNA, 450 nt
Filed under: uncultured bacterium
Lineage: Bacteria
Description: bacterial SSU rRNA
Rfam family: Bacterial small subunit ribosomal RNA
Source: RNAcentral
GUGGGGAAUUUUGGACAAUGGGGGCAACCCUGAUCCAGCCAUGCCGCGUGUGUGAAGAAGGUCUUCGGAUUGUAAAGCACUUUAAGUUGGGAGGAAGGGCAUUAACCUAAUACGUUAGUGUUUUGACGUUACCAACAGAAUAAGCACCGGCUAACUACGUGCCAGCAGCCGCGGUAAUACGUAGGGUGCAAGCGUUAAUCGGAAUUACUGGGCGUAAAGCGUGCGCAGGCGGUUUUGUAAGACAGGCGUGAAAUCCCCGGGCUCAACCUGGGAACUGCCUCCAAAACUGCAUGACUAGAGUACGGUAGAGGGUAGUGGAAUUUCCUGUGUAGCGGUGAAAUGCGUAGAUAUAGGAAGGAACACCAGUGGCGAAGGCGACUACCUGGACUGAUACUGACACUGAGGUGCGAAAGCGUGGGGAGCAAACAGGAUUAGAAACCCGAGUAGUCC